RNAcentral lists this long non-coding RNA (1286 nucleotides) under Musa acuminata (dwarf banana). RNAcentral's name for it is "long non-coding RNA (MACU_LNC004719)". Lineage: Eukaryota; Viridiplantae; Streptophyta; Magnoliopsida; Zingiberales; Musaceae. The record is from RNAcentral.
CGUACCGUCCCAUUUCUUCGAGGUCCCUUUGGUGCCGCUUUCCUCGAGAAGCCCUGCUCCUCCCUUUCGCAAGCUUCCCGACGCUGUUGCCACCACCCGAUGCGGAUCGUCGCCUUCUUCCCAACCCCUCGAUGCCUUCCCUUGAGGAGGGCGUUGUUGCUGAGCUUCCUUGGGAUCCAGAUUCGGUUGGCUGCGGCCGAUCACAGACCUGGAAACCCGAGUUUUGGUUUCCCGCUGAUUUUGAUGUGUUUACAAGGUGAGAUUCGUUUAUUCCUGAUUCCCCGUGCCUUACUCGUUGGUGAUCUUGAAUCUUGAAACGAUAAAUUGCUCUGUGAUGCCUACUCUCUAAUUAAUAUAAGUUCAUGCUUGUGAUCUUUUUUAUCUUGAAACGACAGAGUUCUUAGUCGGUUGUGCCUUUUCGUUUUCUUGGUUCUGAGAUCCGUGUCUUCUUGAUCUCUCGUGCUUUACUCGUUUGUGAUCUUGAAUUUAGAAAUGCUAAGAGUUGUUAAUCUAUAUGAUGCCUAUUCUCUAAUAUAAGUUCAUGCUUGUGAUUUUUCUUAUCUUGAGACGACGGAGCUCUCUGUCGGUUGUGCCUUUUCGUUUUUUUGGUUCUGAGAUCCGUGUCUUCUUGAUCAGACUUACUGAUUUGUGAUCUUGAAUCUUAAAAUGAUAAGCUGAUCCGUGAUGUGUAUUCUCUUAUAUAAGUUCAUGCUUGUGAUCUUUUUUAUCUUGAAACGACAUAGUUCUUAGUCGGUUGUGCCUUUUUGCUUUCUUGGUUCAGAGAUCCGUGUCUUCUUGAUCCCUCGUGCCUUAUUUGUGAUCGUGAAUCUGGAAAUGAUAAAGAGUUGUUGAUCUAUGAUGCCUAUUCUCUCGUAUAAGUUCAUGGUUGUGAUUUUUUUUAUCUUGAAACGACAGAGUUCUUAGUCGGUUGUGCCUUCUCGUUUUCUUUCUUGAUCUCUACUGCCUGACUCAUGAUCUUGAAUCUUGCAAUGAUAAAGAGGUCCUAAUCUGUCAUGCAUGUUCUCUCGUAUAAAUUCAUGCUUGUGAUCUUGCAUCUUGAAACGAAAGAGUUCUUAGUGAUAAGCAGAUAAGAUUUCCUCAAGCCAGUUGACGAAGAAAAAUCUUCCCUGUUGAAUGUGUAUAAAUAGCUAUCAAGAGCGUACUAUCUAAAUGAACUAGGCAAUUACAUUUCAUACAUUUCAUAGUUUCUUAUAUAAUUUCUAUCUUUCUAUCUUCUUCGUUUAAUUAUUUACAUGGUAUCAGAGCCUUCUUCCUUGCGGAUGUAG